Molecule: ribosomal RNA, 510 nt
Filed under: uncultured bacterium
Lineage: Bacteria
Description: bacterial SSU rRNA
Rfam family: Bacterial small subunit ribosomal RNA
Source: RNAcentral
AGAGUUUGAUUAUGGCUCAGGAUGAACGCUGGCGGCGUGCUUAACACAUGCAAGUCGAACGAAGCAACUUAUUACGAUCCCUUCGGGGUGACGAUUGUUGACUGAGUGGCGGACGGGUGAGUAACGCGUGGGUAACCUGCCUUGUACAGGGGGACAACAGUUGGAAACGACUGCUAAUACCGCAUAAGCGCACAGCUUCGCAUGAAGCGGUGUGAAAAGUUUUUCGGUACAAGAUGGACCCGCGUCUGAUUAGCUAGUUGGUGAGGUAACGGCCCACCAAGGCGACGAUCAGUAGCCGACCUGAGAGGGUGACCGGCCACAUUGGGACUGAGACACGGCCCAAACUCCUACGGGAGGCAGCAGUGGGGAAUAUUGCACAAUGGGCGAAAGCCUGAUGCAAGCGACGCCGCGUGAGCGAAGAAGUAUUUCGGUAUGUAAAGCUCUAUCAGCAGGGAAGAUAAUGACGGUACCUGACUAAGAAGCACCGGCUAAAUACGUGCCAGCAGCCGC